RNAcentral lists this ribosomal RNA (927 nucleotides) under uncultured bacterium. RNAcentral's name for it is "bacterial SSU rRNA". It matches the Rfam family "Bacterial small subunit ribosomal RNA", at positions 28 to 929 of the family's 1533-position model. The record is from RNAcentral.
GACGAACGCUGGCGGCGUGCCUAAUACAUGCAAGUCGAACGCUGCUUAAGAAGAAACUUCGGUUUUUUCUUAAGCGGAGUGGCGGACGGGUGAGUAACACGUGGGGAACCUAUCCAUCAGCGGGGGAUAACACUUGGAAACAGGUGCUAAUACCGCAUACGGCUUUUUUUCACCUGAAAGAAAGCUCAAAGGCGCUUUACAGCGUCACUGAUGGCUGGCCCCGCGGUGCAUUAGCCAGUUGGUGAGGUAACGGCUCACCAAAGCAACGAUGCAUAGCCGACCUGAGAGGGUGAUCGGCCACACUGGGACUGAGACACGGCCCAGACUCCUACGGGAGGCAGCAGUAGGGAAUCUUCGGCAAUGGACGCAAGUCUGACCGAGCAACGCCGCGUGAGUGAAGAAGGUUUUCGGAUCGUAAAGCUCUGUUGUCAGCAAAGAACAGGAGAAAGAGGAAAUGCUUUUUCCAUGACGGUAGCUGACCAGAAAGCCACGGCUAACUACGUGCCAGCAGCCGCGGUAAUACGUAGGUGGCAAGCGUUGUCCGGAUUUAUUGGGCGUAAAGCGAGCGCAGGCGGUGAUUUAAGUCUGAUGUGAAAGCCCCCAGCUCAACUGGGGAGGGUCAUUGGAAACUGGAUCACUUGAGUGCAGAAGAGGAGAGUGGAAUUCCAUGUGUAGCGGUGAAAUGCGUAGAUAUAUGGAGGAACACCAGUGGCGAAGGCGGCUCUCUGGUCUGUAACUGACGCUGAGGCUCGAAAGCGUGGGUAGCAAACAGGAUUAGAUACCCUGGUAGUCCACGCCGUAAACGAUGAGUGCUAAGUGUUGGAGGGUUUCCGCCCUUCAGUGCUGCAGUUAACGCAUUAAGCACUCCGCCUGGGGAGUACGACCGCAAGGUUGAAACUCAAAGGAAUUGACGGGGGCCCGCACAAG